RNAcentral lists this ribosomal RNA (492 nucleotides) under uncultured bacterium. RNAcentral describes it as "partial 16S ribosomal RNA". It matches the Rfam family "Bacterial small subunit ribosomal RNA", at positions 28 to 507 of the family's 1533-position model. The record is from RNAcentral.
GGCGAACGCUGGCGGCGUGCUUAACACAUGCAAGUCGAACGGAAAGGCCCCCACUUUUUUGGUGGGGGUGCUCGAGUGGCGAACGGGUGAGUAACACGUGGGUGAUCUGCCCUGUACUUCGGGAUAAGCUUGGGAAACUGGGUCUAAUACCGGAUAGGACCAUGGUUUAGUGUCUCAUGGUGGAAAAAUUAUUGUUUUGGUGCAGGAUGAGCUCGCGGCCUAUCAGCUUGUUGGUGGGGUAAUGGCCUACCAAGGCGUCGACGGGUAGCCGGCCUGAGAGGGUGGACGGCCACAUUGGGACUGAGAUACGGCCCAGACUCCUACGGGAGGCAGCAGUGGGGAAUAUUGCACAAUGGGCGCAAGCCUGAUGCAGCGACGCCGCGUGGGGGAUGACGGCCUUCGGGUUGUAAACUCCUUUCGUUAGGGACGAAGCCGCACCUUUUUUGGGUGUGGUGACGGUACCUUUGUUAAGAAGCACCGGCUAACUACGUG